Molecule: ribosomal RNA, 440 nt
Filed under: uncultured bacterium
Lineage: Bacteria
Description: partial 16S ribosomal RNA
Rfam family: Bacterial small subunit ribosomal RNA
Source: RNAcentral
CCUACGGGAGGCAGCAGUAGGGAAUAUUGCUCAAUGGGGGAAACCCUGAAGCAGCAACGCCGCGUGGAGGAUGAAGGUUUUCGGAUUGUAAACUCCUUUUGUUAGAGAAGAUAAUGACGGUAUCUAACGAAUAAGCACCGGCUAACUCCGUGCCAGCAGCCGCGGUAAUACGGAGGGUGCAAGCGUUACUCGGAAUCACUGGGCGUAAAGAGCGCGUAGGCGGGAUAGCAAGUCAGCUGUGAAAUCCUAGGGCUUAACCCUAGAACUGCAUUUGAAACUGUUAUUCUAGAGUAUGGGAGAGGGAGGUGGAAUUCUUGGUGGAGAGGUGAAAUCCGUAGAGAUUAAGAGGAAUACUGGUGGCGAAGGCGACCUGCUAGAACAUAACUGACGCUGAGGCGCGAAAGCGUGGGGAGCAAACAGGAUUAGAUACCCUUGUAGUC